This 2118-nucleotide long non-coding RNA is filed under the name Piliocolobus tephrosceles (Ugandan red Colobus). RNAcentral's name for it is "lncRNA (ENSPTEG00000023568.1)". The record is from RNAcentral. Lineage: Eukaryota; Metazoa; Chordata; Mammalia; Primates; Cercopithecidae.
AUUUUUGAUUCGAUAUUGUAUAAAAAAGAAAAUUUUUUGGAAAAGAAUUUUUUUAAAUUUGGCAUUAACAUGGGUAAUGAUAGAAUGUGUGAUAAUAACAUGGUUGAUUGUGAUACUACUAACUUGAAAACUCCAAAUAACAAAAAAAAAUCAUCACAUUAUCAAAAAAAAAACCAAAAAAAAAUACAACAACAAAAUUAUAAACGAACAGAAAAAGAAACUGACGCCAUGUACAACAACUUGUGUAAAAACAUUUGCAACAUGAUUAAACAAGAAAUUGUAACUGAUAUUGAAAAGAAAAGCGCAGACAUUAAUAAGAAAAAUAUAAAAAGGAAAACAAAAGAAAGUCAAAAAACGUACGGAGCUAACAUAAUUAAAUUAUUAAUUAUAUUAUUACCAGAAAAAUACAUAGAAAUAAAUAUAUUAACAUUUUUAGAAGGUUUAUUUAAUGGAGAAACAUUUGAAGAAAACGAAGUAGAUAAAACAUUUAUUUUUAAAAAAAAUUAUUUAUUUAUGGUUAUGUCUUUUUUUAAUAAAUUCAUAAAAGGAUUACAAGAAAAAAAGGAUAUUAAUUUAAGAUUUUUACUUAGUAUUAUAUACAAAAUGUUAAUAAAAGCUAUUUAUUUUUUUAAAGGAGAUAAUUAUGAAAAAUUAUGUUUAGUUAUGAAAAAUCAAAAUAUACUACAAUUUAACAACAAUAUAUCAUCAGAUCCUGUUACAAGUUUUUAUAAUCUUAAACAAUGCUUACAAUUUAAUUUAUUAAUAAAAAAGGAAAAAGAAUUUUAUUUAGGUAAUAAUUAUAAUCAACAACAAAUAUUAUAUCAUGACAAAAAAAAAAAAAAUAAUCUAGAUUUAAUACAAGGUACCUUUCGAGAAAAAAGUAUCUACAAAUAUAUCAAUAGUAAUAAAAAAUAUGAUUUCCAAAUACAUGCACAGAUAUUAGCAAAAUAUGCUUUAAAAUUGUUAUUAUUUGCUGUUAAAUCUUCAACUAAAUGGCUUCAAAUGAGUAAUAAUGAACAGCUACAUAAAAAAAAUAAUGUCUCUGUAUAUGACCCAAGUAGUACCAUGGCUCUUUGCAUAAGCAAUCAGAACCAGGAUGAGAACCGGAACGAGAACCAGAACCAGGACCAGAACCAGGACCAGGACCAGAACCAGGACCAGAACCAGAAUCAAAACUACAGCCAAAACAAAAACGACUCGACUACAGGAAAUAGUACUAUCACAGAAAUACUUACCAAAUUAAACCAGAGUAAUACAAAUUUAGGUUUAAUUGAAUAUGUUAAUUUAAUUGAACCAUUACUUGUUUAUUGUUUUUGUGAUGGUAAAGAUGACGUUUUUAUUUUAUCAUCUAAUUGUAUCAAAUUAAUUAAAAAAAAAAAAUAUAGUACUUUCACAAAAUAUGGAUCGUUAAUUAUUAUCUCUUCGGUUAAUAUAUUGAAAAAUAUUCCAAACUAUUAUAGUCAAGAAUUUGAUAAACUUAUUCUAUCAUGUAUUGAUACUUUAACUUAUUUUUUAAAAAGUAAUAACAGUAGUGACAUUGUGUCUUGGCUUAAUUAUCCUAUAUCGCAGAGAAAUGAAUCUAGUUAUAAUAAUAAUAAUAAUAAUAAUAAUAAUGGCGCAGGUAACAAUAAUGUAAUAUAUAACAAUAAUUACGACUUAAGUACAACUGCAAAUAGUUUAUAUAACAGGAACAAUAACGCAAGAAAAACUCUUGUGAUAGAAGCUCGAUCAGAGUUAGAACAAUUAUUAUUGGAAAAAAAAAUGAUUGAAAACGAAACACAUAGUGAAAUAAAAGAAGAGCAGCUAUUAAAAAGAAAUAAAAUAACUAAUUUACUCGAAGAAAAUAUAAUAUCAUUAUAUUAUUCUAAACAGUGGAAAUAUGAAGAUGCAUAUGAAACAUAUGAUGAUAGUGAGACUAUAAAAUCUUUAAGGUACUGUUUACUAGAUCAAAUAUUUUUAUUAUUAGAUAGUAAAAAUCAUAUAUGGGAACUUUUAUUGCUUUUUAAAAACUGUUUACUUCGUGAAGAUAUAAAUAAUAUUAUUAAAAACGGUACACUUUUAUUAAAAAUGGAUGAAUGUUUUGAAAAAAUAUUUUCUAUUAUGAUUCAAGAAGCACAU